This 70-nucleotide transfer RNA is filed under the name Dipodomys ordii (Ord's kangaroo rat). It matches the Rfam family "tRNA". From Rfam's summary of the family: Transfer RNA (tRNA) molecules are approximately 80 nucleotides in length. The record is from Rfam by way of RNAcentral. Lineage: Eukaryota; Metazoa; Chordata; Mammalia; Rodentia; Heteromyidae.
GGGAAUGUGGCUCAGUGCUAGAGUGCGUGCCUAGCAUGCAUGAUUCCUGGGGUUUGAUUCCUCAGUACCA